UAAGGAAAUAAAAACAGCCAUGAAAAUCUCCAAACCAAAAGAAGUUUAGGGCCAGAUGGUUUUAGCUCCAAAUUCCUUUUCUUAUUAAUAAAAUUUAUUCUAUGUGUUUUCACAUCGUGUAUCUUGAUCCCAUUCAUUCCCUUUCCCUUCACAUAUACCCUCUGCACCUUCACUCCCCUCCCUGAAUAAAACAAAAUUCAAAUGAAAAAAUGAAGAAAAUAAUUUUGUUUUAAUGGAAGGAAUUAAAAAUCUCAUCAUGGAAGCUUCAGCGUUACCCAAAAUGUCAUGCCGUAUACUCCUUGGCUGGUAUAUGUCUACUUGCAAGUGUUCAUUACAAAGGAUCAUUGGUCUGAUUUGAUGCUGGGGCCUCCACUAGGACUCUUCCUGGACACCCACUGCCACUCCGUGUUUGGGUCCCUUCAUAUGCUCCUGCAGACCACUGAUGGUGUAGUUGUUGGUGCAGGCCAAGUCAUAAGCCUGCUACUGGGACUGGGCAGGUGUAGGGUUGGUCCACUGGAGCUGUUCUAUGCUCUCAAUUUUGGGGAUGGCUCACCAAUACUUCUACUAACAGAGCUGGAUGUAUUGUGCUGCCCUUGUGUUGUGCAGAGCCUGCUAUCCCAUAUCUGGGAAAUGCCUGGCCCUCUCUCAAUCACUAAGAAUAUGCCCCUCACUUGGUGUCAACUUGAUAUAAAAAUAUCUAGCACAGAGGGUAUAAAAGGCAAGGCCAGGUGGAUCUCUGUGUAUUUGUGACCAUCUGAAUCUAUGAAACAAAUACCAUGACAGCAGGAAAAAUUAUAAUGUGAAACCCAUCUUGAACACCCUCCCAAAGAAAGGAGUUGAAAGGAUCCUAGAUGGAGAAGUCAUUUGAAGCCACAUUCUUGAAGUAAAGCUUCAGUUACAAACAGUGUACUGGGAAAGUUGGGAGAGCCUGCUGAUAUCCAGAGUGAUUUGGCCACUAAAUCUCCUAUGUAGAUGGUGAGGAUGAGGUGGGGUUACUUGGUCUAGCAUGACCCAGGGUGCCUUUCCUCCCUUGUUAGAGAUAUAGAGCACCAGGGGAAGGAGAGAGGACCAAGAACUUCUAACUUCUGAGUAUGGUUCCUUCACACUGCUAGGCUCCAUGUUUUAAAAUUCCUCAAGAGCCACUCAGGAACCCAGAUCCCAUAGUACUCCACAGGUCCCAGUGCAACCAAGCCUCCAAGUGCAACCAGGCACUACAAGGAACCUAUGUCCUGUUGCACAUCCACGAAACCAGUGGAGCUAAGUCUUGUAAUGCAUCCAGCUCUCCCACAUUAACUGGCUCUCCAAGCACCAGGAAGCAGUUAAUGGAAGCAGGUCUUCAGGUGUCCUCAGGUUCUCAAGGAAGCCUUGUUGCCCAUGGUUCUACAUGUGCUCUCAUUCUCCCAGACUCUCCAGGGCUGCAAAGCAAAAGAGAGAAUCCCAUAUCAAUCAGCUGCUUGUGAAUCAUCUGCACAACCAGCUCCAGUCCAAGAUACAGACUCAACCCAGACUCGUACAUUCAGCACAGCUUCAACACCAGCUAAGAGGCUGCCAACAAAUCUAUUGGAAAACGAAAGGAGACUAAAUCAGCUAACACCAUUCCAGCCACAGAUGAUGUACAAGACUCCAUUGCCAUCUGGGUCCAGCUUUUUAAUCUAACAUAAAUGUGAAUUGGAUACCUGUCUGAAUCAAGUAUUCUAACCAAAGAUCUUUUACUUUUUUUCCUAAUUAUUUUUCAUUGUAUCUACCAACCCCAGUUCUCCCUCCUCCCCUUCUGUUUCCACUCUCCUGACUUCUCAAACCCACCCACUCCUCCAAGGGUAUAAGGCCUUCAUUGGGGAUUUGACAAUGCUGGAAUGCCAAGUUGAGGAAGAACCAAGCCCUCCCUCUUUGUAUCAAAGGUAAACAAGGUAAUCCACCACCAGGUUUGGGUUUCAAAAAGCCAGUUCCUGUACGUGGGAUUGGUACUGGGGCUACUUCCAGGGCCCCACACAGCAGACCAACCCAAAUAUCACCCACAUUCUGAGGGCCAAGUUUGGUACCAUGUAGCCAAUCAUACUAAUUUUUGGCACUUCUCACUGCUAGAUUUGUUCUAAGAACUCUUGGUCCUGAUGGUCCUGACAUUCCUGCUUUCAACUAACACAGUAUAAGGUUAACAGGCAGAUACCACCAUACACAGUUUUGUUUUCUUUGCUGAGAAAAAGUUUUACUCUAUGUUACUCAGCCUGGACUUGAAUGUUCAGGGAACAGGCUCCUUUCCUUCCCACAAGUCUGUUAUUGCAAUGUGUGUCUAAGAAUUUAGAUAUGAGAAUAUUAACUUUUCAGUGACUGUAUUUGUUGUUUUUAAUUUCUUUCAGAGACAACUGUUUAGUUUGUGUAUACUAACAAAUUUUGCAGAUAUUGGGAGAGAGCAUUUCUUUCUGUAGUUCAGGCAGGCCUAUGCAUUCUACAUAUUCUCCCUCUGUGUAGAUACAUGAGAUUCUCAGUGUGAACAAACACACCUCCCCCAUGAGCUUCUCUCCAUGGAUUACUGAAUUGUGUCAUUCAUACCUUAUCUUAUUUUAUCAUUUUGUUAUUUUAUAGGCACUCUUAAUUGCAUAUCAAUUCUCCCAUUCAAUUACCCUCCCAUACUCCCCUGUUCCCUCCCAAAAGCUCAACCCAACCCCCACCUCCUCUUCAGGGACACUGAGGACCUCCAAGGGAGACUGUCAAAGUCUGUCAUACCAUUUUCAUACCUUAUCUUUAAAUCAAUAAAUUGAUUUUAA
Molecule: long non-coding RNA, 2762 nt
Filed under: Cricetulus griseus (Chinese hamster)
Lineage: Eukaryota; Metazoa; Chordata; Mammalia; Rodentia; Cricetidae
Description: lncRNA (ENSCGRG00015030412.1)
Source: RNAcentral